Long non-coding RNA from Quercus lobata, 1933 nucleotides. RefSeq lists it as uncharacterized. The transcript is spliced from 2 exons. The record is from RefSeq and is a predicted model, not a curated record. NCBI's taxonomy places the organism in Eukaryota, Viridiplantae, Streptophyta, Magnoliopsida, Fagales, Fagaceae.
CUGAUUUAGAUUCAAUCAAGAUACAAAUAGAACUUGGGCUGGCCUAUUGACCAAAUACAAUAGGACUUGGGCUGCCCCAAGUAUAUGACCAUUAACCACCUUUAUAUGUGCAACGUUGCAAAUCCAACAAAAAGGAUUAGUGCUAUCUGUCUCAGAAAAUAGAUCAUAGAAUAGAAUUGUUACUUUGUUCUGCAUGUCUCUAGCGUACGUUUGGAAUAUUAAUGGAAGAAAUCAAAACAGCAGCAGACACAGAGAAUUGCUUGCAGAAAACUCCAACUAAUGGGAAAGUAGUAGUGGGUGUAGGAGGCUUAUGGAUUUAAAAAUUAAAAUUAAAAUAAAAGAGAAGUAUAUGUAAGUCUAAGUUGGCAAGCAAAGCAUAAAUAUUUUCCUUAGUCUACUUGCUUCUCUCAUUACACAUAUGUCUAAGUUGGCAAGCAAGCAUAAAUAUAUGUCUUUGUUUACUUACUUUUUUUAUUCCACAUAAGUCUAAGUUGGCAAGAAAGCAUAAAUGCCUUGUCUUGCCUACUUGCUUAUGGUUUUUUGGACAAUGGCAUGAUAAUCCUAUAUAUAAUAGAAGUUAUAGAUGAGUUCAAUAUGAAGUUAGCUUUAACAAAAUUGAAAUUGAGCUUAACUUGGAAGCUUUUCAAGAUGUGUUUUGAAGCCAAAAUUUGAUUCUUUUUAUGGUGUGACUGUGCAUGCAAUAGAAGAUGGAGCUUCAACAUUUUUACUAUCCAAAGCAUCGUUGAUCUUUAGUGAAGAGAGAAUUUAUGGCAAAAAAUGUUAUAGGUGCCAGGAACCAAUAUUGGAUCCUACCUAUGGUUGUAUAAAAUGCAAAGAGUAUAAAUUCUACCAUCAUAAAUCAUGUGCGAAACUACGCCUUGGGUUUCACCAUCCCUUUCACCCAAUGCAUCCUUUUAUUCUCUUUGACAAAUCAAUGGGUUAUCGUGAGAAAGAAAAUAGCAAAUGCGAACUCUGCAAAGAAUAUCACUGUGAGAACUCAACCAUUUCUAGUGGAAAUCUUGUUGGAUCUGGCUGAGUUUGCAUUUGCUGUUUUCUUUCUCACAACAACCCAUUGAUUCAUCAAAGAAAAUAAGAGGAUGUAUUGGGUGCAAGGGAUGGUGAAACCCAAUGGGUAAUUCCGCACAUGAUUUAUGAUGGUAGAACUUAUACCCUUUGCAUUUUACACAACUGUAGCUAGGAUCUAAUAUUGGUUCCUGGCACCUAUAACAUUUUUGGUCAUAAAUUCUCUCUUUAUUGAAGAUCAACGAUACUUUAUUGGUUAAUGGCACAAAUAAAUUUUUUCGCCGGUUUCUGUUGAUAUUUCACUAGAUUUCAGAAGAUUUCUGCCUCUAUGAUGCCAACCAAAUUAAUAGGCACCCGUUAAAGGCCCGAUCUAAUUAAUCUCUUCAAUUGGCAAUGGGUUGAGGUAUCUUCCACCCGAUCAGGUCGAUAGGAGCAGGUUGCGCCCAAACCCAAUCCAAUCUGAUUUGUAGACAACCCAACUUUUGUACAACUUGAAGCUGAAUCCCAAGCCCUCCCAUUGGCAAGUCAAUCAUGUUUACUUGCGACAUUUGUGGUAAAGAAGGCAAGGGUGUGCCCAAUUUAUGUGUUUCAUGUAGUUUCAGCUUCAUAGAAGUUAUGGCUCUUUCCAACGUAGAGUGAAAGUUGUACAUCACAAGCACCUUCUCCACCUUACCCAUUUUUCUCUUAAACUCCUUUAAUUUGAUUCUCGAUUUUGUCAACUUUGUGUUCGAAAUGUGAACACUAACUAUUACUAUUGCUCUAGAUGCUAUUUGUUGCCCACCUCAAUUGUGCUAUGACCAUGGAAAAAAGGGAGGACAUAAAUUUGUUAGAACUUAAAGAUGAAAAUAAUCCAAAGUUCAAUGAAUUCAUUGACUCAGCAACUUACAACAACAACCAAAAAAAAAAAAAA